CUUUUUUCCAUUUGUUAAAAAAAUAUAAGCUUCCUGCGAUCGAUCCUGGAAUGAUAAAAGUAUGUCAACUGUUCUGUGAAAGUAAUGUGUUUGGUUCAUCCUUAGAAUAAACCUUUUAAUAUCUUUAAAUGAAUUGGGUCAAGCAAAUUUCGAGAAUUCUUCAGAAAGGGGACCUCUUAAUAAGGGUGCUUCUCCAGAGGUCCCGAGGUUUGCUGUGGAUAAAUCUGUUGAAUUUUCAUAUGAUGAACUCGCUAAUGCCAUUGACAACUUCAGCACAUCCUACAAGAUUGGCCGAGGUGGUUUUGCAUCUGUUUACUAUGGAGAGUUACGAGGCGAGAAAGAUGGUAUCAAGAAGAUGGAUAUGCAAUCAACAAAAAAAUUCCUUGCUGAAUUGAAGGUUUUGGCACAUGUUCAUCACUUGAACUUGGUAAAUUCGUUAAUCAUACUGGGUAUGAGCCUGGAUUUUUGUUGUACUUGUCAUUCUCUUCUUUUCCGAGGCUUCUUGGAGAUUUGUGAGGUACGUUUAAUAGGAUAUUGCAUUGAAGGAUCCUUGUUCUUACUUCUUAGUAUAUGGGUUCAUUGAAAAUGGAAACCUAAGCCACCAUUUGCGCCAUUUUAAGUAUGGUUUCGUAUGCUUGCUUUUACACCAGCGACAUCAAAAUACAGCCAUUAAGAUGAUAUGCAUGCUUUCUCAAGUCUCAACAAGCUUUGGCUAAAGGAGAGGCACAGAGCUCUAUUUUCUGAUGUUUCUUUGUUGGAAAUUGUUACUAAAAGCCCUAAUGAAUAUCAUAAGGUUUUGAAUGUAAAGUUCUUUUGAGUUUUAGUUGGUAGAUCCAUUAGGAUAGGUAUGAAACUACUGACUUGGUCUUGGUCGUUGUCAUUGUUUACAAGACGACAAAGUGUUUGUACCUUGAAAUUGCUGAUUGUAGACCAGAUGUUGGUACAACAGGUAAUUCUGUGCCAACCUCCUACCUGAUACAUGAGUUGACUUCUGUUUGCUAAUUAGGAGUUCUUGGGAUUUUUCUCUUUGCUAUCAUUGUUCGUGAUGUAUUUCACCACCAACCAAAUUGAAGGAAGAA
This 1079-nucleotide unclassified non-coding RNA is filed under the name Hevea brasiliensis (rubber tree). The record is from RNAcentral. Lineage: Eukaryota; Viridiplantae; Streptophyta; Magnoliopsida; Malpighiales; Euphorbiaceae.